CCUACGGUAGGCAGCAGUGAGGAAUAUUGGUCAAUGGCCGGAAGUCUGAACCAGCCAUGCCGCGUGAAGGUCAGUGCCCUAUGGGCGUUAAACUUCUUUUGUGCGGGAGCAAUAAUGGUAACGUGUGGCCAGACGAGAGUACCGUACGAAUAAGCAUCGGCUAACUCCGUGCCAGCAGCCGCGGUAAUACGGGUGAUGCAAGCGUUAUCCGGAUUUAUUGGGUUUAAAGGGUGCGUAGGCUGUGAGGUAAGUCAGCGGUGAAAUGCCCCCGCUCAACGGGGUGAAGUGCCAUUGAUACUGCCUUGCUGGAAUGCGGAUGCCGUGGGAGGAAUGUGUGGUGUAGCGGUGAAAUGCAUAGAUAUCACACAGAACACCGAUUGCGAAGGCAUCUCACGAAUCCGCGAUUGACGCUGAUGCACGAAAGCGUGGGUAUCAAACAGGAUUAGAUACCCUGGUAGUC
RNAcentral lists this ribosomal RNA (460 nucleotides) under uncultured bacterium. RNAcentral describes it as "partial 16S ribosomal RNA". It matches the Rfam family "Bacterial small subunit ribosomal RNA", at positions 338 to 795 of the family's 1533-position model. The record is from RNAcentral.